Molecule: long non-coding RNA, 475 nt
Filed under: Phoenix dactylifera (date palm)
Lineage: Eukaryota; Viridiplantae; Streptophyta; Magnoliopsida; Arecales; Arecaceae
Description: long non-coding RNA (PDAC_LNC002576)
Source: RNAcentral
ACUCACUCGACUUCGACCCAAUCAUAAACUAACAUCAGGGUUGGGAGUGAGGGGUCAAGAGAGUGCAAUGCAACUCAAUAUACCACAAAAAGGAGCUCUACAAGUCUUUGAAAUAGAGAAAAUAAAAUUAAUUUACAAAAAAGUCAUUUCACAACUCGGAACCAAUUUAACUACUCAUAAAGGAGUAUAAUCAAGACUACCACUCACAAGUCUUUGAAAUAGAGGAAAUGAAAUCAAUUUACAAAAAAAUCAUUUCACAAUUCUGAAUCAAUUUAAUUAUUCAUCUACCCCUCGUAAUUCCUCUCAAUGUUCCCUCAAAUGCAUGUACAGAAUAAUUAAGCAUGGAGAACAAAACAUAGAGGAAUCUACCACAAUAAUCAAUCAAUAAGCUCAGGUGGAAUCAAAUCACACUUGGCAACAUUCAUGAAAAUGAAUAAGAAAUGUGCUCAUGGUGCAAAGUACAAUCUCCCACUCA